This 433-nucleotide ribosomal RNA is filed under the name uncultured bacterium. RNAcentral describes it as "partial 16S ribosomal RNA". It matches the Rfam family "Bacterial small subunit ribosomal RNA", at positions 29 to 507 of the family's 1533-position model. The record is from RNAcentral.
AACGAACUCUGGCGGCAUGCCUAACACAUGCAAGUCGAACGAGACCUUCGGGCCAAGUGCCGCACGGGUGCGUAACGCGUGGGAACCUGCCCGUAAUUUCGGAAUAACUCUCCGAUAGGUAUACCAAUACCGAAUAACGUCUUCGGACCAAAGAUUGAUCGCCCUUGGAUGUUCCCGCGUUGGAUUAGCUAGUUGGUAUGGUAAAAGCAUACAAAAGCCACGAUACAUAGCUGGUCUGAGAGAAUGAUAAGCCACACUGGGACUGAGACACGGCACAGACUCCUACGGGAGGGAGUAGUGGGGAAUAGUGGACAAUGGGGGAAAGCAUGAUCCAGCAAUGCCGGGUGAGUGAUGAAGGCCUUAGGGUUGUAAAGCUCUUUUACCCGGGAUGAUAAUGACAGUAGCGGGAGAAUAAGCUCCGGCUAACUCGGUG